GGGAAGAUGGCUCAGUGGUAGAGUGCUUGCCUCGCAUGCAUGAGGCCUUGGGUUCGAUUCCUCAGCAUCACA
Molecule: transfer RNA, 72 nt
Filed under: Dipodomys ordii (Ord's kangaroo rat)
Lineage: Eukaryota; Metazoa; Chordata; Mammalia; Rodentia; Heteromyidae
Rfam family: tRNA
About the family: Transfer RNA (tRNA) molecules are approximately 80 nucleotides in length. Their secondary structure includes four short double-helical elements and three loops (D, anti-codon, and T loops).
Source: Rfam by way of RNAcentral